Molecule: transfer RNA, 87 nt
Filed under: Eubacterium limosum
Lineage: Bacteria; Bacillati; Bacillota; Clostridia; Eubacteriales; Eubacteriaceae
Also listed under: 1 other name
Description: tRNA-Leu
Rfam family: tRNA
About the family: Transfer RNA (tRNA) molecules are approximately 80 nucleotides in length. Their secondary structure includes four short double-helical elements and three loops (D, anti-codon, and T loops). Further hydrogen bonds mediate the characteristic L-shaped molecular structure. tRNAs have two regions of fundamental functional importance: the anti-codon, which is responsible for specific mRNA codon recognition, and the 3' end, to which the tRNAs corresponding amino acid is attached (by aminoacyl-tRNA synthetases). tRNAs cope with the degeneracy of the genetic code in two manners: having more than one tRNA (with a specific anti-codon) for a particular amino acid; and 'wobble' base-pairing, i.e. permitting non-standard base-pairing at the 3rd anti-codon position.
Source: RNAcentral
GCGAGGAUGGCGGAAUUGGCAGACGCGCAGGUUUGAGGGGCCUGUUGGAACUUAUCUCCAGUGAGGGUUCAAGUCCCUUUCCUCGCA